Molecule: long non-coding RNA, 1149 nt
Organism: Arachis duranensis
Lineage: Eukaryota; Viridiplantae; Streptophyta; Magnoliopsida; Fabales; Fabaceae
Exons: 2
Source: RefSeq, a predicted model, not a curated record
GGAAGGGGAGCGCCGAGGAGAAGGGGAGAAGAAGAGAGGGAGGACGGCGUCGGCGGGCACUACUGCCGCCGCUCUGUCGUGUGUCGCCGUUGGAGGAGGAGGAGCGCGAACCAGAUCCAUGGAAGGGAGAAGCAGAGCGCGCACAGGUUAGGAGAAGCCGCCACUGCUCUCUAUGCGUCCUCCUCCAUCCAUCAACUCCUUUAACAUGAUUUUGGGGGCUCUUGCCAAGAGUAACGAUUUCCCCACCGCCAUUCUCCUUGUUCAGAAAUUGCAAGACAGGGGAAUCGCUUCCGACUUGUUUACUUUGAACACCUUAAUCAAUUGUUGUUCUAGCAUGGGUCCUAUGAAGCUUGCUUUCUUUGUGUUGGCUAAGAUUCUCAGGAUGGGUUAUCAACCUGAUACGGUAACAUUGACAACAAUCCUGAAAGGUCUCUGUCUGUCUCUCUGGUAAUGUUGAAAAAGCACUACACUUUCAGGAUAGAGUCCUGGCUCUAGGAUUUCAGUUUAAUAAAGUUACUUAUGGGACCUUAAUUAAGAGAUUCUGUAAUCUGCCGCUAAGCAGUGGUAGGGUAUUUCUCAACACUUUGAAUAGCGGCAUCCGGUGUUACAGGAUCUCUUAAUCAAGGUCCCAUAAGUAACUUUAUUAAAAUGAAAUCCUUGAGCGAGGACUCUAUCACGAAGGUGCAGUGCUUUCUCAACAUUACCACGGAGAAUAACACACAGAGGAAGCAACUUUCAUAAGACCCAUGCUGGAACUUACACCACUCUUAUUCAUGCUUUGUUUGAAAAAGAUGAGAAUGACAUGGCAGAGAAACUUCUUCAAGAAAUGAUUGCUAGAGGCUUAUUGAAUUGAUAAAAGAAGGUGCAGAAGCCUAUUUAACAAUGGCAUCUAGAAAUAGAAGAUUGACAAGUGGUUCCUAUAGCAGCAGUAGUUCUAAUGUCAUGAGGGAAUGUUUUUGCGAUUGUGAAUGAACCGGUUGUAGAACUAGUGAAUGAAAUGCUAUUACUGAAAUUGUUAGAUUGUUUUCUUAUUUUUUGUUUUGUAGUUUGUAUGUUUAUCAUCAUAGUUUUGUUUUUUAAACUCUAAGACUUUGUUUACAAGAACGGGAUAUUGAGACAGGGACAAUGAGAUACAUCGUGUUUGACAGA